AGAGUUUGAUCCUGGCUCAGGAUGAACGCUAGCUACAGGCUUAACACAUGCAAGUCGAGGGGCAGCAUUUCAGUUUGCUUGCAAACUGGAGAUGGCGACCGGCGCACGGGUGAGUAACACGUAUCCAACCUGCCGAUAACUCGGGGAUAGCCUUUCGAAAGAAAGAUUAAUACCCGAUGGUAUAAUCAGACCGCAUGGUCUAAUUAUUAAAGAAUUUCGGUUAUCGAUGGGGAUGCGUUCCAUUAGGCAGUUGGUGAGGUAACGGCUCACCAAACCUUCGAUGGAUAGGGGUUCUGAGAGGAACGGUCCCCCACAUUGGAACUGAGACACGGUCCAAACUCCUACGGGAGGCA
RNAcentral lists this ribosomal RNA (353 nucleotides) under uncultured bacterium. RNAcentral's name for it is "bacterial SSU rRNA". It matches the Rfam family "Bacterial small subunit ribosomal RNA", at positions 8 to 350 of the family's 1533-position model. The record is from RNAcentral.